RNAcentral lists this transfer RNA (77 nucleotides) under Ruaniaceae bacterium KH17. Its description in RNAcentral is "tRNA_Pro_GGG". It matches the Rfam family "tRNA". From Rfam's summary of the family: Transfer RNA (tRNA) molecules are approximately 80 nucleotides in length. Their secondary structure includes four short double-helical elements and three loops (D, anti-codon, and T loops). The record is from RNAcentral. Lineage: Bacteria; Bacillati; Actinomycetota; Actinomycetes; Micrococcales; Ruaniaceae.
CGGGCUGUGGCGCAGCUUGGCAGCGCGUCUGACUGGGGGUCAGAAGGUCGUGGGUUCAAAUCCCGCCAGCCCGACCA